RNAcentral lists this long non-coding RNA (1042 nucleotides) under Homo sapiens (human). RNAcentral's name for it is "non-protein coding ZNF793-AS1:1". The record is from RNAcentral. Lineage: Eukaryota; Metazoa; Chordata; Mammalia; Primates; Hominidae.
CGAUCAUUAACCUUAAAGAUCUCUAAACCAGUGUCUGAAAAAUCCCAACUGACCCCAGACCCAUGAAGACCACUAUUACUGACCCCAUGCACCCUGAAAAUCAAGACAUUUCACAGAACUCGCAUUUAUUGAUUCCCACACACUCCCAAUCCAUCUUCUUCAGAGACCGUGCCACUGACUCCCGCAAACCUCUGUCCGCCACCACUGAGGCCCCGCGAGGCUCAGACGCCGAAUCUCUUAACCCUUCAGUUCCCUUGUCAUUGACCCUCACGGGCACCCAUAGCUGACCCAGUCGGCCACCGUAGUCGGCAGCUCACUAUCCUCCACUAGUCCCAGGUUUGACCGUUUCUCAAACCGUGCCUUCCCAUUUAUGCUGCAUCCGCGCCCUGAAUCUGAAAUUGGUCGUCCUGCCACGCCGCCUCACCGCGGUAUAAGGUCGUCCCAUCCUGAAUGGCCGGUGCGCAGACUCAAUUGCGACUUUGAGGCUGUCAGCCGCCACCCGGCAACCUUCCAGUGAACAGGAUUCUGGGUUUCUCAAAGCUGUAAUUGGAGGGCCACUCCAGAGGUGUUAAAGCUCCAGCACUUCGAGCCUGCCUCGUGGGAAAGUCUUAGGCUGAGUCUGUAGGUGUCUGCAGUUAAGAAGCCAGCGGUCUGCAUAUGAUUGCUCAGGGGUGGUGGCUGGGUCCAACAGCAUUCACUACAGGCCUGCCUUGAAUACCACCUAGCGCAGUGCUCCGCAUAUCACAGGGGCUGGAAACCUAACAAUUUCACUUCCUAGACAACUUGCUAAAAGUCACCUAAAGACAGUCUGGUUACUGCCAAAGAUAUGCUUUCAAAUAAGAUUUGGAUAAAGAAGGGAGGUAGAUGCCUUUUUUCAGCAGUGGAGUGAUGUCUAGACCAGUAGAUGUACGCAUCUAAGUGAAUUCAUCACCAGCAACAAUUUCCAGAAACUUCCUGACCUCCAGAUUGCAGCUUCAUUAGUGUGAGUUUAAAGCCAACUAGAUGCCAUUCUCAGAUUCCACGCAUAUGGCCAAGGGUCCAG